This 253-nucleotide ribosomal RNA is filed under the name uncultured bacterium. RNAcentral describes it as "partial 16S ribosomal RNA". It matches the Rfam family "Bacterial small subunit ribosomal RNA", at positions 524 to 776 of the family's 1533-position model. The record is from RNAcentral.
UACGUAAGGGGCAAGCGUUGUCCGGAUUUACUGGGCGUAAAGAGCGUGUAGGCGGCCACGCAGGUCCGUUGUGAAAACUGGAGGCUCAACCUCCAGCUGUCGACGGAAACCGUAUGGCUAGAGUCCGGAAGAGGAGAGUGGAAUUCCUGGUGUAGCGGUGAAAUUCGUAGAUAUUAGGAAGAACACCGGUGGCGAAGGCGGCCCACUGGUCCGGUACUGACGCUGAGGUGCGAAAGCGUGGGGAGCAAACAGG